CCCUGAAAAAUUUUCAGGACCCCGCGUGGAAUUAAAGGGCCAGAUAGGGACGUUUACUGCACAACGGUUGUUUGGUUCUGUUCACUGGCGACCUGGCAGAAAAGCUGCCUAUUUCUGCAAGUGAUCCGCUCCAUUUGCAUGCGUGGUGCAGACAUUUUGCGGUCACCAGGGUUCCCAGGCCACUGAUCUGUACAUGCUUGUCUGGCCACCUCUUUCCUCCUUCACUUGCAGAGUGCCUAAGAGGAUUUAGAAUCAAGUGGGCGCAUUUGCACGGCCUUGUUCUGAAGAGGCAGCUGGAGCACGGCCGUCGGCCUGGCGCAGACGACCGCGGGUCCCGAGGGACGCUUUGUCCUCCGAGGGGCCGCCACGGGGACUCCAUUGUGCGCCAGGCAGGCCUUUCUCUCCUACCCUCUGUCUCCCCCGGGCCCCUUCCCCACCCCCUACACAGACUUUUCUCUCUAGCCGCCCGGACCCCCCGCUGCCACAUUUCCCACGCAGAGGCGCGGGCAGGGCUCGGCCGGCCAUCUGCACGCGGAGAUUGACAGCAGCCCCGGAAGAUGGACAGUCCUGAGACAUUUUUCAUACAGGCAGCCCAGAAGAAGCCAGCAACCAUUCGCCAGGAGCUGUGGCCAGCCUCAUAACUCAUUCGUGUAUUGGUUUUUCAUCUUUCUCUGCUUCAUUCUUCUCAUCCCUUACUCCUACUCGCUGGAUCACAUUCCCCAAUGAAGUAUUUGCACUCAAGCCUUCGUCUCAGGAUCUGCCAUCUGGGAGACCCAGGCUAAGACCAUGUUAUUUUUUAGCAAAUGGAGUUUUAGCGUCUAGGCUGUCUUCACGCUCCCUCGUCCCAUCCCUCUUUUCACUGUGUGAGUUUCUGUCCAGUUAUGAUGACCAUAAAAUGGUUAAAGGGUUACUUUCUUUCCUUGCUGUGGAUGGAGCGAGGGUCAGUGAGGGUGGUGAGUCAUGACUGCCUUCGCUUCAGCCACAGCGGGACCCAGAUGUCCUUUGCAGUCCUCGUCUGGCAGCUGGUCAGCCACUUUGGCCCUGAGCUUUUGUCCACUAACUUUAACCUGGCUCUGUUUAAUUUUUCCGAUCUGUAUUUUUAACUUCCUCCUCAUAUUUUUAUCUAUUCAUUUUAUCUUGCUCUAUUUAUGGAUUUGUAGAGUAUAAAUAAGCAAAGAUUGGUGUGAGUAGGCCUUUAAAAAAAAUCACAUGGCCCAGUGUCCCAAAAUCACAUGUAAUACUCUCACCAUGUGACAAAGCUUUGUAGAAUGAUAACAAAAUCAUGGUUUUUAGAAA
Molecule: long non-coding RNA, 1296 nt
Organism: Pteropus alecto (black flying fox)
Lineage: Eukaryota; Metazoa; Chordata; Mammalia; Chiroptera; Pteropodidae
Exons: 2
Source: RefSeq, a predicted model, not a curated record